CUUUACCUGGCUACAUUGACAUUCAUCGCUUAUUAAACAAGUACAAAGAAUCUCUAGGUGGGGAUUAUACCACCCAUCCACUAACAUCGAGCAGUAUAGUCUGCCCUACAUACUGUGAGUUCAUUUCAUAUACUUUAUAUUCUUUCACUCAAGAUACAGUGAGCACUAUUUUAUUCCUUUUAAUUUUUGGUUGGAUCGCACCCAUAUUGAUCUACUGAACCAUCCUAUACACCUGUUAACCAGCAUCACUUCACAUAUCCUUUAGUAAUCAUUCCACUCCCUGCACCCUAAACCAGAGCUGGAUAUUAGCUCUGUAGAUUGUGAGUAGUACUGAUUACUACUUUGUUUUCUAUUCUGCCUACAUACUGUACCAUUGGAGUUUGUGUUCUUUCUCCCCAUUUCAAGUGAAGAGCUUUUCCAUCUUAUUGUAUUGCCAGAGUCCUCCCUAUAAAUAUGGAUUGCAUCAUUCUGGAUUUAUGAUAAGUCAUUUGGACUAUUACUUCUACCAUUUGUUUUGAGCCGUGUCAUCUAUUGAGACAUGGACUAUUAUUGUAGGGGCCCCACACAGUCCUAUAGACCUUUAUAUCUAUUUAUGACAUUUAUUGAUUAUGUUUCAGUGUGAUUGCACAUUAUCCAAUGUAUUUUAAGGAUAGAUUAAUUUUGUCUAUUUACGAUAUACCUUUUUGAUGCACACUUUUAUUGGACUAUUUUAAUACUUUAUAGGUUUAAUAGUCAUUUCUAUAGAUGGUAUAUUGUAUAUUUGCAUUGAUUGUAUAUUCGCUAUAUCAUACGUCAUACUAUUUGCUUUUUGAUCCUCACUGCUUGAGUGUAAAUUCAGAUUGGUGGUGAAAUCUGACACUGACCCUUCACCUUGCUUCCUUGAGCCUCUGGCAAAGAUAUCGCCACUGAGAGAGGGGUAUUUUAUAUACACCCCUAUAUACUAUUAACCCUUAAUAGGUGAGGAGUAAUUACCACCCCACCAACUGAGGAAAUAGCCCAUUUAAUCUAUGCACAUUUGAC
Molecule: non-coding RNA, 1020 nt
Organism: Pelobates cultripes (western spadefoot toad)
Lineage: Eukaryota; Metazoa; Chordata; Amphibia; Anura; Pelobatidae
Source: the annotation of a GenBank genome assembly